AUUUGAAUCAGAAAGAGCAGAGAACCAAAAAAGCCAGAGCUGUUGUUCCUGCUUAAACUGCUAAGGUCUUUACCAGCUUGGUCUAGGGUUUUGAAGAUUCCACGUGUGCAGCUGAUUCUUCUCUAUGCUGGACAUCUAACCCAGGGCUCAUUAACGGAUAUCCAAGUUAGCACAUCGCCCCAUAGAUCUUAAAAGUGCUACACCAACAUGAGGGGGAACUUUGUGAAUGGAACAGAGCACUGGGUUGAAGAUGGA
Non-coding RNA from Pogona vitticeps (central bearded dragon), 255 nucleotides. The record is from RefSeq and is a predicted model, not a curated record. Lineage: Eukaryota; Metazoa; Chordata; Lepidosauria; Squamata; Agamidae.